RNAcentral lists this ribosomal RNA (200 nucleotides) under uncultured bacterium. RNAcentral's name for it is "partial 16S ribosomal RNA". It matches the Rfam family "Bacterial small subunit ribosomal RNA", at positions 524 to 723 of the family's 1533-position model. The record is from RNAcentral.
UACGGAGGGUGCAAGCGUUAUCCGGAAUUACUGGGUUUAAAGGGUGCGUAGGCGGCUAUAUAAGUCAGAGGUGAAAGCCCGGAGCUUAACUUCGGAAUUGCCUUUGAUACUGUAUAGCUUGAAAGAGGUUGAGGUCAGCGGAAUGUGACAUGUAGCGGUGAAAUGCAUAGAUAUGUCAUAGAACACCAAUUGCGAAGGCA